This 443-nucleotide ribosomal RNA is filed under the name uncultured bacterium. Its description in RNAcentral is "partial 16S ribosomal RNA". It matches the Rfam family "Bacterial small subunit ribosomal RNA", at positions 338 to 795 of the family's 1533-position model. The record is from RNAcentral.
CCUACGGGUGGCAGCAGUGGGGAAUAUUGGGCAAUGGGCGCAAGCCUGACCCAGCAACGCCGCGUGAAGGAAGAAGGCUUUCGGGUUGUAAACUUCUUUUCUCAGGGACGAAGCAAGCGACGGUACCUGAGGAAUCAGCCACGGCUAACUACGGGCCAGCAGCCGCGGUAAUACGUAGGGGGCAAGCGUUAUCCGGAUUUACUGGGUGUAAAGGGCGUGUAGGCGGGACUGCAAGUCAGAUGUGAAAGCCACGGGCUCAACCUGUGGCCUGUAUUUGAAACUGUAGUGCUUGAGUGCUGGAGAGGCAGACGGAAUUCCUGGUGUAGCGGUGAAAUGCGUAGAUAUUAGGAGGAACACCAGUGGCGAAGGCGGUCUGCUGGACAGCAACUGACGCUGAGGCGCGAAAGCGUGGGGAGCAAACAGGAUUAGAUACCCUUGAAGUC